GUAAAUGAUUCACAAUUAAUAUUUUUUUUUCUUUCAGUCUUGACGAUAAAAUCAGGUACAAUAUAUCCACUGUAUCACUCUAAGGUUCUUGCUGUGAUCUGUGAGAAAUGUUUCCUUUAGAAGCAACUGUUUCUAUCUGUAUGGUGAAAGAGAUUAAAAGAUUUGUAAGAACUUAGUUUUAUAAAAUUUGGUUCAAAUUCAAUAUUUAAUUUGACAACAUUCUCUAAAGACAUUUAAAUGAUUUCUUUCUUUAACAUACUGUGUCGUUCAAAGGUUAGAACUUCAGUUGUUGGCAUGCCGAUGCAGCAAGCCUCAUAAUUCAACCUGCUAGUUAAAAUAAUGCCAGCUGGGAACUGAUGCUGUGCUUCUUAAGCUCCUACCACUGUAAACGAGCGCGAAUCUGCCUAUAGAUGCCUGUUGCUUGGUAGCUUUCCUUGCAAGGUGAAGGCUGCAGUGUGUGCACCCUGUGCUAUGCAGUUGAGGGAAGAAGGAAACAAGAAUAUUCAGGCUGCCAGAGAACAAAUGGCAAGGACAAAGAGCAAAGAGAAAUACUAGCAGUGAUUUUACCCAUGAUGACUGUCAUUACAACCAUUGUACCUGCCUGCCAGAGCUUUGCUUUGUGCCGCUUUCAAAGUCUACUUUUGCCUAAGUUUGGACUAGAAGACCUUGGAAGAACACUGGCAUGGAGUGUCAGGUGGUCUGAAGAAAGAUUACCAAGAUGCUGGUGGCAAUAGUUAUUCUAGUUCUGCAGUCUGAAACUAAAUCAACAGCUUUAUCAGCAAGGCUGAAUUUUAAGGAGAGCUACACUAGGAACUGAUGUCAACAGUGCUGGAGGAUGGGCUUUGAGGCUUAAGUUCUGAGGCUAUAUUUUCCUUCCAGUGAAACCAACGCAGUUUUAGAGAAGACUUAACGGGAAGAGGGGUCUUUAUUUGAACUUUUCACUGUUGCUUUUUAAUAAACUAGUUCGUGUGGCCUCUUUAACA
This 983-nucleotide long non-coding RNA is filed under the name Anser brachyrhynchus (Pink-footed goose). RNAcentral describes it as "lncRNA (ENSABRG00000021683.1)". Lineage: Eukaryota; Metazoa; Chordata; Aves; Anseriformes; Anatidae. The record is from RNAcentral.